This 476-nucleotide ribosomal RNA is filed under the name uncultured bacterium. RNAcentral describes it as "bacterial SSU rRNA". It matches the Rfam family "Bacterial small subunit ribosomal RNA", at positions 15 to 518 of the family's 1533-position model. The record is from RNAcentral.
GAUCAUGGCUCAGGAUAACGCUGGCGGCGUGCCUAAUACAUGCAAGUCGAAUGGUAGCAAUACCAUGGCGAACGGGUGAGUAACACGUAGGUAACCUGUCUUUAAGCCGAGGAUAACCAUUGGAAACGAUGGAUAAUACUGGAUAGGACAUUUGAAGGCAUCUUUAGAUGUUUAAAGAUUUAUCACUUAGAGAGGGGCCUGCGGCGCAUUAGCUAGUCGGUGAGGUGAAGGCUUACCAAGGCGAUGAUGCGUAGCCGGACUGAGAGGUUGAACGGCCACAAUGGAACUGAGAACGGUCCAUACUCCUACGGGAGGCAGCAGUAGGGAAUUUUCGGCAAUGGGCGGAAGCCUGAACCCGAGCAACGCCGCGUGAACGAAGAAGUAUUUCGGUAUGUAAAGUUCUUUUAUUAGGGACGAAAAGACAGAUUGACGGUACCUAAUGAAUAAGCUCCGGCUAACUACGUGCCAGCAGCUGC